This is a long non-coding RNA of Hyla sarda, 595 nucleotides long. RefSeq lists it as uncharacterized. Lineage: Eukaryota; Metazoa; Chordata; Amphibia; Anura; Hylidae. The transcript is spliced from 3 exons. The record is from RefSeq and is a predicted model, not a curated record.
AAUCUGAUUGGUUGCUAUGGGCAACUGCACCACUCUUCUUCUGCACAGGUUUUGAUAAAUCUCCCCCUUUGUGAGUGAUGGAGGUUACAUAAAAUCCCUACACAAACAUUUUAAUAUAUAAUAAAUAAAGUUCCCCUUUUUAAACCAUUCUUUAACUUGUUUGACUCAUUUAUUUUAUUUGUGUGUGACAAAUAGUGUUAGCAAAACGUGGAUGACAUGUUUUUUUUUUUUUAAGUGUCCAAAGCUGCUCUCCUGCACGAUCUGCAUAAUGCGGUGCGGAGAGGGGCAACUGAUGCUGGGUGGUACAGUUGCCGAGGCAACCAUAGGACACCCACGGGACCCUAGGAGAGCGGGGAAAGCAGGUGAGAGGACCUCCAUCCACCAUUUUGAAUGAUCACCAGAUCGCCACAGAGGAUCAGAAUGCGCUGACAUAGUGAGGAGACGUCUGGGCAUCAAGUUCUGUAGAGAGAAGCUUUAGCUGGAACAAAUCCUGGCGGUUUAAUGGUGAAAAAUUGUGUGUGGAAGAAAUUGUCAUGAUGGCCCAGACCAGAUGGAGAAGAGAAGGCAACGAAGCAAAUUAGAGAAGAUGUCAGAU